This 406-nucleotide ribosomal RNA is filed under the name uncultured bacterium. Its description in RNAcentral is "partial 16S ribosomal RNA". It matches the Rfam family "Bacterial small subunit ribosomal RNA", at positions 28 to 526 of the family's 1533-position model. The record is from RNAcentral.
GAUGAACGCUAGCUACAGGCUUAACACAUGCAAGUCGAGGGAACGGCGCACGGGUGAGUAACACGUAUCCAACCUGCCCUUUACUCGGGGAUAGCCUUUCGAAAGAAAGAUUAAUACCCGAUAUAAAGGAUGGGGAUGCGUUCCAUUAGGUUGUUGGUGAGGUAACGGCUCACCAAGCCUUCGAUGGAUAGGGGUUCUGAGAGGAAGGUCCCCCACAUGGGAACUGAGACACGGUCCAAACUCCUAGGGGAGGCAGCAGUGAGGUAUAUGGGGCAAUGGGCGCUUGCCUGAACCAGCCACGUAGCGUGGAGGAUCAAGAGUUAUAGGUCGUAAACUUCUUUUAUAUAAGAAUAUGUAUUAUAUGAAUAAGGAUCGGCUAACAACGUGCCAGCAGCCGCGGUAAUAC